GCGGAUGGCUGGAUGAUCGCGGGUGGUAACACACGAGGAAAGUCCGGGCUCCAUGAAGACAGGGUGCCGGGUAAUGCCCGGCCGGGGCAACCCGAGGGAAAGCGCCACAGAGAAGAGACUGCCUUGGUGUCAAGGGUUCGCCUGCGACGCACACCCAAGGCGAUGGUGAAACGGUGGGGUAAGAGCCCACCACGGACCGGGCAACCGGGACGGUAUGGCAAGCCCCACCCGGAGCAAUGCCGAAUAGGGGCCUCGCGCGGGCUGGUCCUUGAUCGCAAGGUCGGGGAUACCGCCGCAGGGACACUUCAGCCCAGAGGCCCGGGUUGGCAGCUUGAUCGCCUUGGUAACAAGAGCGACAGAGGAAUGGUCAUCCAGAGGGGGGAACCCCUUGGACAGAACCCGGCUUACAGGCCAUCCGCAUAG
This 423-nucleotide RNase P RNA is filed under the name Rhodoferax sp. RNAcentral's name for it is "RNase P RNA component class A". It matches the Rfam family "Bacterial RNase P class A". From Rfam's summary of the family: Ribonuclease P (RNase P) is a ubiquitous endoribonuclease, found in archaea, bacteria and eukarya as well as chloroplasts and mitochondria. RNAcentral also lists the same sequence under 1 other name. Lineage: Bacteria; Pseudomonadati; Pseudomonadota; Betaproteobacteria; Burkholderiales; Comamonadaceae. The record is from RNAcentral.